Hordeum vulgare subsp. vulgare (domesticated barley) is the source of this 124-nucleotide non-coding RNA. Lineage: Eukaryota; Viridiplantae; Streptophyta; Magnoliopsida; Poales; Poaceae. The record is from Rfam.
CUUGUACUCCCUCCGUCCGGAAAUACUUGUCCUAAAAAUGUACAAAAUUGAUGUAUCUAUAACUAAAAUAAGUCUAGAUACAUCUAUUUUUAGGACAAGUAUUUCCAGACGGAGGGAGUAUUAU